AGCGAACGCUGGCGGCAGGCUUAACACAUGCAAGUCGAGCGGGCAUCCUUGUGGUGUCAGCGGCAGACGGGUGAGUAACGCGUGGGAACGUGCCCUUCGUUUCGGAAUAACUCAGGGAAACUUGAGCUAAUACCGGAUACGUGCGAGAGCAGAAAGGUUUAUCUGCCGAAGGAUCGGGCCGCGUCUGAUUAGCUAGUUGGUGAGGUUAUGGCUCACCAAGGCGACGAUCAGUAGCUGGUCUGAGAGGAUGAUCAGCCACACUGGGACUGAGACACGGCCCAGACUCCUACGGGAGGCAGCAGUGGGGAAUAUUGGAAAAUGGGGGCAACCAUGAUCCAGCCAUGCCGCGUGAGUGAUGACGGCCUUAGGGUUGUAAAGCUCUUUUCUCCGGGACGAUAAUGACGGUACCGGAGGAAUAAGCCCCGGCUAACUUCGUG
Molecule: ribosomal RNA, 437 nt
Filed under: uncultured bacterium
Lineage: Bacteria
Description: partial 16S ribosomal RNA
Rfam family: Bacterial small subunit ribosomal RNA
Source: RNAcentral